This 152-nucleotide ribosomal RNA is filed under the name Acinetobacter baumannii. RNAcentral's name for it is "partial 23S ribosomal RNA". It matches the Rfam family "Bacterial large subunit ribosomal RNA", at positions 1 to 150 of the family's 2925-position model. Lineage: Bacteria; Pseudomonadati; Pseudomonadota; Gammaproteobacteria; Moraxellales; Moraxellaceae. The record is from RNAcentral.
UAUAGUCAAGUAAUUAAGUGCAUGUGGUGGAUGCCUUGGCAGUCAGAGGCGAUGAAAGACGUGAUAGCCUGCGAAAAGCUCCGGGGAGGCGGCAAAUAUCCUUUGAUCCGGAGAUGUCUGAAUGGGGGAACCCACCUACUUUAAGGUAGGUA